GACGAACGCUGGCGGCGUGCUUAACACAUGCAAGUCGAACGGAAAGGCCCUGCUUUUGUGUGGUGCUCGAGUGGCGAACGGGUGAGUAACACGUGAGUAACCUGCCCUUGACUUUGGGAUAACUUCAGGAAACUGGGGCUAAUACCGGAUAGGAGCUCCUGCUGCAUGGCGGGGGUUGGAAAGUUUCGGCGGUUGGGGAUGGACUCGCGGCUUAUCAGCUUGUUGGUGGGGUAGUGGCUUACCAAGGCUUUGACGGGUAGCCGGCCUGAGAGGGUGACCGGCCACAUUGGGACUGAGAUACGGCCCAGACUCCUACGGGAGGCAGCAGUGGGGAAUAUUGCACAAUGGGCGGAAGCCUGAUGCAGCAACGCCGCGUGCGGGAUGACGGCCUUCGGGUUGUAAACCGCUUUCGCCUGUGACGAAGCGUGAGUGACGGUAAUGGGUAAAGAAGCACCGGCUAACUACGUG
RNAcentral lists this ribosomal RNA (468 nucleotides) under uncultured bacterium. Its description in RNAcentral is "partial 16S ribosomal RNA". It matches the Rfam family "Bacterial small subunit ribosomal RNA", at positions 28 to 507 of the family's 1533-position model. The record is from RNAcentral.